Molecule: ribosomal RNA, 474 nt
Filed under: uncultured bacterium
Lineage: Bacteria
Description: partial 16S ribosomal RNA
Rfam family: Bacterial small subunit ribosomal RNA
Source: RNAcentral
GAUGAACGCUAGCGGCAGGCCUAACACAUGCAAGUCGAGGGAGGAGCUUUCGGGCUUCGACCGGCGUACGGGUGCGUAACGCGUAAACAACCGGCCUUUCACAUAGGGAUAGCCCGAAGAAAUUUGGAUUAAUACCAAAUGUUAUAUAGGGUUGGCAUCACAUUUAUAUUAAAGCUGAGGCGGGGAAAGAUGAGUAUGCGUUCUAUUAGCUAGUUGGAGAGGUAACGGCUCCCCAAGGCGACGAUAGAUAGGGGUUCUGAGAGGGAUAUCCCCCACACUGGUACUGAGAUACGGACCAGACUCCUACGGGAGGCAGCAGUGAGGAAUAUUGGACAAUGGUCGGAAGACUGAUCCAGCCAUGCCGCGUGCAGGAAGACGGCCUUAUGGGUUGUAAACUGCUUUUGCAGGGGAAGAAUAAGGACUACGAGUAGUUUGAUGACGGCACUCUGCGAAUAAGCAUCGGCUAACUCCGUG